CUGACCUUGAAACUGCGGUUUCGCACAUCAAGCGCCGGUUUUUACUUCGUGCGUGUUUUACUAUCGUGUCUAUGGAAGACUCGAAAAGAUCAGAGAAGAAGGAACCCCAUCACAAGCCACCCCAGGCACUGCCACUCUCUCCGCUCGGAUCUGCACUUUAUCUAUGUCCCAAUCUUUAAAGUAUAUUUUGUAUUCUCACUGGGUUUAAAGGAAGUAUCUCGACUCGCCUUCAAAACAGGAGGGGGAAAAAACAAGCCUAACUCUGAAGGUAACUUUCAGAACCAGGUGACUUCUUCCUCCCCGCCAAACGCGCAGCCUACUUCGGUCGUGUCCUUAGGAAGGGUUCAGCCUGGCACGGAGUUGGAGGGGCGAGCCAAGAACAGAGAAGCCCAAAGACGGGAGACAGAGGUCUUCUGAUUCCAAGAAAGUAUUCUUUCUCACACACUCGCUAAAUUCUCUUUUUAUCAGAGAGUCGACCUCAAGCUCAAAGCCCUAGAAAAUAUUACAAAGCUGUUGCCAAGUUUCAGUCCCCACAAAAUGUGGAUUCUUCCCAGGAUAUGUCAGUAUCAAAGGAGGCAAGACAAACAACAAUAUGAUUAGAGAAGACUUCCCAGAGUGGGUAGGAUGGGACCUCUGCUUUAAUCGAUGAAUAGAAUUCAAAAAUUGCUAAGUGAAUUCACAACUCAGGAAGAGUUCACAGAGCACCUCGUCUGCAAAGCCAUGCUGUAUUUCAGACAAGCCAAAUGACUGUCCUCUAAAGUGUCAUCUCCAAUUGAUUGGUCUGGGUUCAGCGGAGAAGAGUGCCACGAUCAACUGGUGAUGCCUGCCACAGGUCAGAGAUUGGAGAAAGGGACUCUGUGUGCCACGUGCUUGCCUUACCUACUCAAAGCUCUCAGGAACCUGUUUUUCAACAUCAUAAGGAAAAUGCUUUGUCCCAAUUCAAAUUUUACAUAUCUUCACAUGAAAAUAACUUGUCCUUAAGUUGUGCCAAUGCUGAGGUGUUCUAGUAGCCAGAAUGGGAAAAGAAUAUAAGACGACAUAUUUGUUUUCAGGUGAGGGUUCUCUCACUUUCUCCCUAAAUCCCACCGCCCUUCUGCUCCUCUGCUUCUCAGACAACAGUAUGUGUGUGGUUGGAGGUGAGCAUGUAGAGGUUUCCGGGAUAAUGUCAAUGCAGGCGUAGAGGCCUGUGGGGGAGCCUUUAAAGGGAGGAAGAGAGGGAAUCCAUUUGGCAGGAUGCCAGGUGAAGAAGGGCUCAAUCUAAGAGCCUCUCUAUGUAUACAUUUUCUCCUCUCGUUCCUCUUUUGGCUGCACUUCCUUUAUUUUCUCAUUUCUAGAAAUAAUAGGAUAUGUGGAAGGAGGAAAAUGAAGAAGCAGAAGAGCAUCUCUGGCUUUGAAACUCUCCAGGGACAUGGGCUACAGAAAGGCCAAGUGGGCCCUUUCUAUCUGCUGGGCCCUAGGCCACCAUGCCUGUGGGUUUUCUGUGCUUCGUGUACAUUCUGGCUGUCAGCCAUUAUCAUAGUCAUAGACACAUAAUGACAAAAUAAAAGCCAACAUAAAUUAAGACCUUA
Equus caballus (horse) is the source of this 1568-nucleotide non-coding RNA. NCBI's taxonomy places the organism in Eukaryota, Metazoa, Chordata, Mammalia, Perissodactyla, Equidae. The record is from RefSeq and is a predicted model, not a curated record.